GUUUUGGCAGCACAUAAUAUAAAAUUGGAAUGAUACAGAGAUACAGAGACCAGCAUGGCCUCUGCACAAGGAUGACACACAAAUUUGUGAAGCGUUCCAUAUUUUU
Cynocephalus volans (Philippine flying lemur) is the source of this 106-nucleotide small nuclear RNA. The record is from RefSeq and is a predicted model, not a curated record. NCBI's taxonomy places the organism in Eukaryota, Metazoa, Chordata, Mammalia, Dermoptera, Cynocephalidae.